GACAGAGGGCGCAAACGUUGCUCGGAAUUACUGGGCGUAAAGCGCGUGUAGGUGGAUUGGUGUGUCAGAUGUGAAAUCCCUGGGCUCAACCCAGGAACUGCACCUGAAACUACCAGUCUUGAGUGGUGGAGAGGGAAGUGGAAUUCCUGGUGUAGAGGUGAAAUGCGUAGAUAUCAGGAGGAAUACCGAUGGCGAAGGCAGGUCUCUGGGCUAUAACUGACGCUCAUGCACGAAAGCGUGGGGAGCAAACAGG
This 253-nucleotide ribosomal RNA is filed under the name uncultured bacterium. Its description in RNAcentral is "partial 16S ribosomal RNA". It matches the Rfam family "Bacterial small subunit ribosomal RNA", at positions 524 to 776 of the family's 1533-position model. The record is from RNAcentral.